GACGAACGCUGGCGGCGUGCUUAACACAUGCAGGUCGAACGAUGAAGAAAAGAAUUGAAGCUUCGGCAGAAAUUCAUUUCGGAUUAGUGGCAGACGGGUGAGUAACGCGUGAGCAACCUACCUCUUACAAAGGGAUAGCCUCGGGAAACCGGGAUUAAUACCAUAUAACAUUGCGACGAAGCAUUUCGAUGCAAUCAAAGCUACGGCGGUAAGAGAUGGGCUCGCGUCCCAUUAACCGGAUGGUGAGGUAACGGCUCACCAUAGUGACGAUGGGUAACCGGCCUGAGAGGGUGAACGGUCACACUGGAACUGAGACACGGUCCAGACUCCUACGGGAGGCAGCAGUGGGGAAUAUUGCACAAUGGAGGGAACUCUGAUGCAGCGACGCCGCGUGAGUGAUGAAGGAAUUCGUUUCGUAAAACUCUGUUCUAUGGGAAGAAAAGGACUGUACCAUAGGAGAAAGCUCCGGCUAAAUACGUGCCAGCAGCCGCGGUAAUACGUAUGGAGCGAGCGUUGUCCGGAAUUAUUGGGCGUAAAGGGUGCGCAGGCGGCUUUACAAGUUGGAUGUGAAAUAUUGUGGCUCAACCACAAACGUGCACCCAAAACUGCAAAGCUUGAGUUAAGGAGAGGUAAGUGGAAUUCCUGGUGUAGCGGUGGAAUGCGUAGAUAUCAGGAGGAAUACCGGUGGCGAAGGCGACUUACUGGACUUAAACUGACGCUCAGGCACGAAAGCGUGGGGAGCAAACAGG
Molecule: ribosomal RNA, 749 nt
Filed under: uncultured Tissierellaceae bacterium
Lineage: Bacteria; Bacillati; Bacillota; Tissierellia; Tissierellales; Tissierellaceae
Description: bacterial SSU rRNA
Rfam family: Bacterial small subunit ribosomal RNA
Source: RNAcentral